AGCGAACGCUGGCGGCAGGCUUAACACAUGCAAGUCGAGCGGGCACUUCGGUGUCAGCGGCAGACGGGUGAGUAACACGUGGGAACGUACCCUUCGGUUCGGAAUAACGCUGGGAAACUAGCGCUAAUACCGGAUACGCCCUUUUGGGGAAAGGUUUACUGCCGAAGGAUCGGCCCGCGUCUGUUUAGCUAGUGGGUGGGGUAAUGGCCUAACAAGGCGACGAUCAGUAGCUGGUCUGAGAGGAUGAUCAGCCACACUGGGACUGAGACACGGCGCAGACUCCUACGGGAGGCAGCAGUGGGGAAUAUUGGAAAAUGGGCGCAAGGCUGAUCCAGCCAUGCCGCGUGAGUGAUGAAGGCCUUAGGGUUGUAAAGCUCUUUUGUCCGGGACGAUAAUGACGGUACCGGAAGAAUAAGCCCCGGCUAACUUCGUG
This 433-nucleotide ribosomal RNA is filed under the name uncultured bacterium. RNAcentral describes it as "partial 16S ribosomal RNA". It matches the Rfam family "Bacterial small subunit ribosomal RNA", at positions 29 to 507 of the family's 1533-position model. The record is from RNAcentral.